AAAGCAAAUAAAUAAAUAUUAAUAAUAAAUAAAAAGAAAUUUGAAAAAAGAAAUUUUCAUUUCAUAUUAAUU
Molecule: transfer RNA, 72 nt
Filed under: Euphorbia larica
Lineage: Eukaryota; Viridiplantae; Streptophyta; Magnoliopsida; Malpighiales; Euphorbiaceae
Description: tRNA-Gln
Source: RNAcentral